RNAcentral lists this long non-coding RNA (1005 nucleotides) under Pelobates cultripes (western spadefoot toad). Lineage: Eukaryota; Metazoa; Chordata; Amphibia; Anura; Pelobatidae. The record is from RNAcentral.
AUUAUGUGAGUUGGCGUUAUAUCUCAUCCAUUCUAGCCACAAAUUAGUGUCUGAAAACCCAGUCUCUACUGUCAUAGUGUCUUCAAAGGUGGGAUUGGCUAUAGCUACCAUGUCAUGUAGAGUCUUAAUAUGUGGUUUUAACGUGUUAAUAGUCAUGUGAGUGGUUCCUACCCAGUCUGGUGAGGUGAGCCUUUUUGCUAGGUAUGUCUUUGUAUAUGGCUGCAUAUUGUGUUUGUGGAAAAGGUGCAAACAACUAUGUCACAGUAAUCAAAGGUGUAUGUAGCUACAUCUGUGUUAGAAGAAUUGUACCAGAAAAGUGUAAACAUGAUUAUCUUUGGUUAUGGCCGCUUGUUGGGCCCAGGCAAAGUGUAGCAGCAUAAGAAAACACAAGACACAUAAUAAAUUCAUAUUUCAGCAAGAUUAGCCUCUUCUGGAGCAGGCACUUUUUUGUAAUGUGAGGCGUGUAUCCAAGAACUCUUCCCGGCUAGUUUAACUGACGUUGCUGUAAUCAGGAGCACUUGAUAUGGGCCAUCAAAUCUUGGUUCUAGGGUGUGUUUCCUGAGAAACUUCUUGACCAUAACCCAAUCACCAGGAAGCAGCUUGUGUGUACCUGUAUUUGACUCAGGAUCUGGAAUAGAAGAAAACACUUGGGCAUGUAUUUUGGUCAAGGCAUGUGAGAGGGCAGUCACAUAGUCUACCAUAGCGUCUGACUGAAUCUGAAGCUGUUGGGGAAAGUAACAACCUAACCUGGGUGCUGUACCAAACAAAAUCUCAUAAGGUGAUAGGCUAUAUUUUCCCCUAGGAGUGUACCUUACACUAAACAACGCUAAUGGGAGACUCUCGGGCCAGGGCAUGUUAGUUUCUUGUGACAUUUUAAGCAUUCUGGCUUUCAAAGUGCCAUUCAUGCGCUCUACCUUACCACUACUCUGUGGGUGAUAUGGUGUGUGGAAUGCAAGGGUCACCCCCAGUGCUGGCCAGACUUCCCGUGUUAGCGAGGCAGUGAAG